Molecule: long non-coding RNA, 3068 nt
Organism: Rosa rugosa (rugosa rose)
Lineage: Eukaryota; Viridiplantae; Streptophyta; Magnoliopsida; Rosales; Rosaceae
Exons: 4
Source: RefSeq, a predicted model, not a curated record
UUUUAUUUUUUUUUAACCACCUGACUCUCACUCCUCUCUUCCUCACUUUUCCACCACUCCUUUCCCUUUGUUGAUCACAGACCCAUGCCCAAACUCGACUCCACUGCGCCGCCACCAAGCCCAAGGAGGCCAAGCUCUAGGGCGACCGCUUCGAGGAGGGCCUCACCGACGCCGUUGUGUGCUUCACUGAUACAUUCGAGCGCUUCACCAACGCCGACAAGCACUUCACCGAGUCCAUUUCCUUCGACAAAUCCCUUUACAAGCAUGAUAUCAUGGGAAGCAAGGCCCACGCCUCAGUGCUCCCCAAACAGGGAUUCAUCACUGUUUUGGGUUUAGGGUUUAGGGCCCAGGCCGCCUAGGCGCUGGGUCUCCGCCGCGAUUAAUGUCGAAUCGGUGGAGCUGGGCUGUUGGGGUUUCGGCGGCCACCUAGGCGUCCUAAACGGGCGACUGGGCACCUGUGCGUUUGGGCGGAUUGGCCUGGGCGGUUCUGCCAUCAGAUUUGGUUUUGAUUUGGAUUCUUUUCGGCAACGACGGAGGUCCGAUCCUCAACUGCGAUAGAACUUUCUUGUGUUUCUGAGUUUUGGUGAGGUGGGUCGAUCUGAUUUUGGGGUGUGGAUUGGUGAGAUUAAUCAGUUUUGCUGAUUGGAUUCGGUGGAACAAAAAGUUAUCUGGGUUGGAUCUGAAAUAGUAUACCUGACCUGACUGACCUGAGUCUCUCUAUUUCUCUCUUCUCCUCAGAGUCCUUGUGCCGUAGAUGGAUACUCCCUCUUCUUCGAUCGAUAAGUUCAUGUCCAGGGAGGAAUCUGGGAAAUGGUUUGGAGGGAAGGUCCUUGUAUUAGCAAAUUGUUUUUGCAAUUGCCGUUUUUGUUACAAGUGGGCUUAUUAAUGGAGUCAAAACUGGUCUUCGUCUGCCUUUUGUUUUUUUGAUGACUGGUCUUCGUCUGCUUGAUUCUUAUCAAUGCAAUUGGGUUUUCCAUUGUAUAAGCUUUUUUGCUAUUCUAUAUUUUUAUUAUUGAUUUGAGACCAUGGAUUGGCCUUGGUUGCUGUGAAAUUGAUCUAAAAUUGGAGAGAGGCAGUGAUCUCAUCUUGGGUAAAAAGAGGCAGUGAUCUUUUUACUUGGAAAACUUCAUGAUCAGGUCUUUUAGUACUCGAGUCAUGAUAAAUAAGCUAUCGAUAUGUUUUCUCAGUAGACAUGCACGACAGGAAAAAUUGGCUAAUAAUUAAGUCAUCCUUAGUAGAGAUGAACAGGUGAGGCUAGCUUUUAAAUUGGAGGGUGCAGUUUGGUUCUUCACUUAGAGAUGCUGGAGGGAAUAAUGAGGGAUAUUGAGGUUAGCAAUUAGUAGUGAAGAUAGUAAAGAUAGCGAUGAGGGAUUGGAAACUAUGAUAUGAAGGUUCCGGUGCAUAAAAACAUUUUAAAUUUGUCACAUUCACUUAGCAAUUGCUUUUGGGCCUAAUAGUACUUCAUGAUCGAGGUACUGUACUGUUAGGGAGAAUCAUCUCACGUAUAUACCAUUGUCCAUUGAUAUUUUUUAUUGCGCACUAUGAACCAUUAGUGGCCUUAUUGCAUGCAGACUUCAAUACAUUGAUACUUUUAUACAAUGCAAACAGGUAACAACUGUAUUAAUACUUAUAGUGUAGUAGUGUACAAAGAACAAAGCAUCGGUACUUUGUAUACAAAGCAUCUGCAUUUUUUAGUACCAAAAGCUUUGGCUUGAUGUACUUUGCUAUACCUCUUUAUUCAGACUCUGCUACCAUGUACGAGUGAUGUCCUUAAUUAUAUAUAUUGCUUGAUCGAUGACAUUACAUCUAUAGCUAGCUUCAUAUGUCAAUAAAUAGUUUAUUUGAGUGAAAAGUAUUAGGUGUCCAUGGAACCUUAUUGAACAGAGAAAAAGGAACACCUUGCUCAUUUGUGAAGAUGAAAAACCGAAACACUUUGAUACUUUGAAUAUGCCAUUUUCUUCAAGGCUAGACCUAUAUAUAUAAUCAUCCAGUAAUGCUCCCAAGUCAUACUUUGUUGGCAUGAAUCAGUUAAUUAGGCAGGUGUUUACUUAUUGAGAGAUGUUGAGGUUCGCAAUUAGCAAAAGUAUAGUGAAUUAACUUUGUGUAUGUCUUAUCUUCUUCAUAAUAAAGACAAAGUGUCUCUCUUUCUAGUUUUGCAUUCGUAACUUAAAUAUUACACCAGCCAUGCAUUUUGCUAUUACUUACUUUUAGUUGAAUUCAUGGAUGCCAAGCCAUUGCUUUUAAAGAAUGAGCACAUACUAGUCACACAAAUACAUGGUGUGCAAAGUGUUGGAUUAAUUAAUUUAUGUCAACUAGAGAACUAACUAUAAAAUGGACAAUGUUUUGGAAGUAGUCAGCACACUUUCAGCAAAAUGUCUACAGAGUAACUCGCUGGAUUUUGAUAUUUGGAGCAAUGAUUGAAGAUUGAGUUUCUUUUAUGGGGUUUCAGUUAGUUUUUGGUUCAUGACAGAUACCAAAGACUGAACUGUGUCUUUGUUAAGAAGUUUUGGUGUGGAGUACAUUUGGUUGACUGUUAUCUGAUUUUUUUUUUCUUCUGUUUUUGCAGGUUGCCGGAUUUUGUGUUGGGACUUGGUAUAUUCGUUUCUUCUUUUGCUUAAGAUUACAUAUGGAAAACAUACACAGUAUUUUGCAUCUUAUAUUAGUAUAUUACUCUUAGUCCAGGCUUUAAGCUUGUCACUUUGAUCAUCAACUUUGAAUAUUUUCCCUUCUUGCUCAUCAUUUUCAGGGUUCAACCUUUGCAUAAUGAACAAAUUAUCUGACCCCAGUUGAUGCUAUAUAUGUGCGUGCUGGACUAUAUUGUCUGAUGCAGUUAGGAGGAGAUUGGGCAGAUGCAGACAACGAUUCAACUACCUUUUGUAACUUUUAGUAUGCUAAAGAACAGCUUGAGUAAUUCGUGGUUUGUUCGAUUCAACAUAGUAUAAAUAUGUUAUGUGAUUUGGUGUAGUUUAUGAAUACCUGGAAUGUUUAUGAGUGGCAUUUUAUAUUUUUAUGACAUUUUGUAUUGCACAAUUUCAUUAGUUUUAUUGUAAGUUUACAAUGUUAAUAUA